RNAcentral lists this long non-coding RNA (971 nucleotides) under Suricata suricatta (meerkat). Its description in RNAcentral is "lncRNA (ENSSSUG00005005636.1)". Lineage: Eukaryota; Metazoa; Chordata; Mammalia; Carnivora; Herpestidae. The record is from RNAcentral.
CUCCCUGCCGGCCGAGCGGCGCGGGGGAGGAGGCCGGCGGGCGGGUGCAGGGAAGGGGCCUCAGCCCCGGCGCCCGGCGUGGGGAGGAGGGGACCGAGUCGGAGCCGGGGCUUGGCCGCGUACACGACCCCCCCCAUCUCGACCCCCACCCCCGCCCCCGUCCGGUUCCGCGGGCAGGGGGCCCUGGCGGCGAGGCAGCGAUUGUUGGGACCUGGCAUUCACUCAUGCGGGUGAGUGCCCAUAUCGCUGUGCGAAGUUGGACGUACAAAAAGUGAGCCCCCCGGUGAUCUUGAACGAUUGGAGGAAACUAAAGCCCUCCACCGAGGUUGUCACUGGUGCAUCAUCUUCAGCUGGGAAUCCGGCCUCCCACACGCACUGCUAAGAGAAUGUGGCAAAUACAAACUUUAGAAAAACGUUGAGCCCUGAUAACCUAAGAGCUUACCAUCUUGUGUAAAUUUCGUGUACCUUAUAAAUAGGUCGGUGAAGAGAUGAAGAGCAAAACAAGCAAGGGCAAACAUCUUUAAAAUGUUCAUAUGCCUGGGGCACCUGGGUGGCUCAGUCAGUUGAGAGACCAACUUCAGCUUGGGUCAUGAUCUCAAGGUUCAUGAGUUCAAGCCCCACACGGGCUUGCUGUCAGCCUGUCUGCCCAGAGCCCCUCUUCGGAUCCUCUGUCUCCCUCUCGCUGCUCUUCCCCUGCAUGUGCUCCCCAAAAUAAAUAAAUAUUAAAAUGUUCAUAUUCCCCAACCCAGAAAAGUUACUUGAAGUCACACAUCUAUGGAUACAAAAAGAUGCAUGUAGGGAAAGCCAUCAUUGUGGGAAAACUAGGAACAGAUUAAAGUUUUAACAGAUUUUUAAGUAAAUGAUAGUAUUUUUAUACAGUGAGUACUACAUAGUCAUUAAAAAUGAUGUGUUACAAUAUUUAGUAGCAUAGAAAAGUAAUUUCACUAUACCUUGUUAAGAAAGAAAAACAC